RNAcentral lists this long non-coding RNA (933 nucleotides) under Cairina moschata (Muscovy duck). RNAcentral describes it as "domestica (muscovy Duck (domestic type)) lncRNA (ENSCMMG00000005474.1)". Lineage: Eukaryota; Metazoa; Chordata; Aves; Anseriformes; Anatidae. The record is from RNAcentral.
UUAAAGGAAAAUACUUGCAGACAACAAGUAAGGUAUGAAAUGAAGAAUAGUGUGUCUGAUCUGAAGUGGAGAGGGAAUGCAAUUUUUCUCCUGCAUGGUAGAAGAGCAUGUGGAGAAGCAAUAGAAAAUUCUUUCACUAAAGUUCAUAGUCCAUAUAUUCUGCAUGCAUCAAAAGGAACUUGUAGAAACAGAGUAGUCCUUCUUUUAGAUAUGUGUAUCACCCAACUUUGCCUGAUUGACAUAGCAAGUUAAAACUGCAAGCCGUGAGUAUUUUUCUACACAUCGGUGAGAUGAUUUUAAGAAUAUUACAUGAAUUAAUUGCUGAAGUAAUAUUUAAUUUAUAAAAGGUAUCAUGGAUACCAUUUUACCAUAAACAGCUUGAUUGUUAAUAUGAAAUAAUCUUUUGUCAGUAAUAAUCUUAGAUACUAUGACUAGAGGGGAAAAAUAUUGAUUGUUUUUACAGAUUAUAAAAGCAUACAUUAGUAUAUUGUAUACCUGCUGUAAGAAUUUGUUUCAUUUGGUUAAAAUUAGUAAAUAUGGGUAGACAUGAACUUUCUGGCUGGUUUUGCCGUCCAUACUCACUGAGCUCCUUUUCCUUCUAAACCCAUUUUAGUUCAUUUCAUCUUUUCCCAGCUUUCAAAUCAUAGAUAAGGGGAAUGCUCUUCUACCCCCAGAAAUGUGCAUUCUAUAUACCAGAUUAUGAGUUUGAUUAGAGAAGUAAAAUUCAACAAAACAUGAAAGUUGUCAAAAAAAUUUAAUAAAAGUUGACACUAAAAAUAAGGUUGUUUCAACUGAGCUCGUAGGGUAGAUGUUCUGUAGGUACUCCUAUGUUUUUGUUUUCUUAGAGACCAUAAUAAUCAUAUUAAGAUCCCAGUGAGCAUAAACAGCAAUUAAAUAUGAUGUAAGAGGGAGACUGAAGGAUAGUUAAAUGAU